This 601-nucleotide ribosomal RNA is filed under the name Psychrobacter sp. 9PC-8. RNAcentral's name for it is "bacterial SSU rRNA". It matches the Rfam family "Bacterial small subunit ribosomal RNA", at positions 69 to 665 of the family's 1533-position model. Lineage: Bacteria; Pseudomonadati; Pseudomonadota; Gammaproteobacteria; Moraxellales; Moraxellaceae. The record is from RNAcentral.
CGAUGGGAGCUUGCUCCCAGGCGUCGAGCGGCGGACGGGUGAGUAAUACUUAGGAAUCUACCUAGUAGUGGGGGAUAGCUCGGGGAAACUCGAAUUAAUACCGCAUACGUCCUACGGGAGAAAGCAGGGGAUCAUUAGACCUUGCGCUAUUAGAUGAGCCUAAGUCGGAUUAGCUAGAUGGUGGGGUAAAGGCCUACCAUGGCGACGAUCUGUAGCUGGUCUGAGAGGAUGAUCAGCCACACCGGGACUGAGACACGGCCCGGACUCCUACGGGAGGCAGCAGUGGGGAAUAUUGGACAAUGGGGGGAACCCUGAUCCAGCCAUGCCGCGUGUGUGAAGAAGGCCUUUUGGUUGUAAAGCACUUUAAGCAGUGAAGAAGACUCUUCGGUUAAUACCCGGGGACGAUGACAUUAGCUGCAGAAUAAGCACCGGCUAACUCUGUGCCAGCAGCCGCGGUAAUACAGAGGGUGCAAGCGUUAAUCGGAAUUACUGGGCGUAAAGCGAGCGUAGGUGGCUUGAUAAGUCAGAUGUGAAAUCCCCGGGCUUAACCUGGGAACUGCAUCUGAAACUGUUAGGCUAGAGUAGGUGAGAGGGAAGUAUA